This 444-nucleotide ribosomal RNA is filed under the name Actinomyces sp. oral taxon E63. RNAcentral's name for it is "bacterial SSU rRNA". It matches the Rfam family "Bacterial small subunit ribosomal RNA", at positions 28 to 464 of the family's 1533-position model. The record is from RNAcentral. Lineage: Bacteria; Bacillati; Actinomycetota; Actinomycetes; Actinomycetales; Actinomycetaceae.
GACGAACGCUGGCGGCGUGCUUAACACAUGCAAGUCGAACGGUGAAGGGACUGGUUUUGCUGGUCCUGGAUGAGUGGCGAACGGGUGAGUAACACGUGAGUAACCUGCCCCCUUCUUCUGGAUAACCGCAUGAAAGUGUGGCUAAUACGGGAUAUUCUGGGUCUGUCGCAUGGUGGGCCUGGGAAAGGUUUUUUCCGGUGGGGGAUGGGCUCGCGGCCUAUCAGCUUGUUGGUGGGGUGAUGGCCUACCAAGGCGGUGACGGGUAGCCGGCCUGAGAGGGUGGACGGUCACACUGGGACUGAGACACGGCCCAGACUCCUACGGGAGGCAGCAGUGGGGAAUAUUGCACAAUGGGCGCAAGCCUGAUGCAGCGACGCCGCGUGAGGGAUGGAGGCCUUCGGGUUGUGAACCUCUUUCGCCAGUGAAGCAGGCCUGCUCCUUUUU